CUACAGGCUUAACACAUGCAAGUCGAGGGGCAGCAUGGUCUUAGCUUGCUAAGGCCGAUGGCGACCGGCGCACGGGUGAGUAACACGUAUCCAACCUGCCGUCUACUCUUGGACAGCCUUCUGAAAGGAAGAUUAAUACAAGAUGGCAUCAUGAGUCCGCAUGUUCACAUGAUUAAAGGUAUUCCGGUAGACGAUGGGGAUGCGUUCCAUUAGAUAGUAGGCGGGGUAACGGCCCACCUAGUCUUCGAUGGAUAGGGGUUCUGAGAGGAAGGUCCCCCACAUUGGAACUGAGACACGGUCCAAACUCCUACGGGAGGCAGCAGUGAGGAAUAUUGGUCAAUGGGCGCAGGCCUGAACCAGCCAAGUAGCGUGAAGGAUGACUGCCCUAUGGGUUGUAAACUUCUUUUAUAAAGGAAUAAAGUCGGGUAUGGAUACCCGUUUGCAUGUACUUUAUGAAUAAGGAUCGGCUAACUCCGUGCCAGCAGCCGCGGUAAUACGGAGGAUCCGAGCGUUAUCCGGAUUUAUUGGGUUUAAAGGGAGCGUAGAUGGAUGUUUAAGUCAGUUGUGAAAGUUUGCGGCUCAACCGUAAAAUUGCAGUUGAUACUGGAUAUCUUGAGUGCAGUUGAGGCAGGCGGAAUUCGUGGUGUAGCGGUGAAAUGCUUAGAUAUCACGAAGAACUCCGAUUGCGAAGGCAGCCUGCUAAGCUGCAACUGACAUUGAGGCUCGAAAGUGUGGGUAUCAAACAGGAUUAGAUACCCUGGUAGUCCACACGGUAAACGAUGAAUACUCGCUGUUUGCGAUAUACUGCAAGCGGCCAAGCGAAAGCGUUAAGUAUUCCACCUGGGGAGUACGCCGGCAACGGUGAAACUCAAAGGAAUUGACGGGGGCCCGCACAAGCGGAGGAACAUGUGGUUUAAUUCGAUGAUACGCGAGGAACCUUACCCGGGCUUAAAUUGCAGAUGAAUUACGGUGAAAGCCGUAAGCCGCAAGGCAUCUGUGAAGGUGCUGCAUGGUUGUCGUCAGCUCGUGCCGUGAGGUGUCGGCUUAAGUGCCAUAACGAGCGCAACCCUUGUUGUCAGUUACUAACAGGUUCCGCUGAGGACUCUGACAAGACUGCCAUCGUAAGAUGUGAGGAAGGUGGGGAUGACGUCAAAUCAGCACGGCCCUUACGUCCGGGGCUACACACGUGUUACAAUGGGGGGUACAGAGGGCCGCUACCACGCGAGUGGAUGCCAAUCCCAAAAACCUCUCUCAGUUCGGACUGGAGUCUGCAACCCGACUCCACGAAGCUGGAUUCGCUAGUAAUCGCGCAUCAGCCACGGCGCGGUGAAUACGUUCCCGGGCCUUGUACACACCGCCCGUCAAGCCAUGGGAGCCGGGGGUACCUGAAGUGCGUAACCGCGAGGAGCGCCCUAGGGUAAAACUGGUGACUGGGGCU
This 1438-nucleotide ribosomal RNA is filed under the name uncultured organism. RNAcentral's name for it is "SSU rRNA". It matches the Rfam family "Bacterial small subunit ribosomal RNA". The record is from RNAcentral.